This 358-nucleotide ribosomal RNA is filed under the name Trypanosoma rangeli. RNAcentral's name for it is "partial large subunit ribosomal RNA". It matches the Rfam family "Eukaryotic large subunit ribosomal RNA", at positions 1907 to 2182 of the family's 3401-position model. The record is from RNAcentral. Lineage: Eukaryota; Euglenozoa; Kinetoplastea; Trypanosomatida; Trypanosomatidae.
AAGGUACACUCAGGGAAGUCGGCAAAAUAGAUGCGUAAGUUCGCAAGAAGCAUUGGCUCUGAGGGCAAGGCAGAAGCCAACCGGAAGAACAGUGUCCUCUCGCGUGCGGCCGUUUUUCAGUAGUUGUUUUGGUGCUCGACGCCUUAGCACGCUGAUGGCGACCGUCUCGUCGACCGUGAAGGCUACCUUCCCGAGGCGUGCGUUUUUUUGCGUAUGUCUCACUUCUGCGCGGUGGUCGGUUUCUUUCCUUUCACGAGGGGAGUUCGGCCUCCACAAAUUGCCAACUCAGAACUGCUUACGGCGGGGAAUCCAACUGUAUAAUUAAAACAUAGGUUUGUGAUGCAUCCAAGUGGUGUAU